GGGUCAGUAGGUUGGUCGUGCCACCGGUACGUACUGGUCUCACUGAUUCCUCCUUCCUGAAGAACCGUAAUACCAUUAAUUUGGUGUUGCGGGGAAACAGGACUGUUACUUUGAAAAAAUUAGAGUGUUUAAAGCAAGCUAACGCUUGUAUACAUUAGCAUGGAAUAAUGAAAUAGGACGAUCGAUCCUAUUUUGUUGGUUUCUAGGAUUGACGUA
RNAcentral lists this ribosomal RNA (216 nucleotides) under Glomeromycotina sp. Its description in RNAcentral is "partial small subunit ribosomal RNA". The stretch from base 40 to 216 matches the Rfam family "Eukaryotic small subunit ribosomal RNA", at positions 686 to 864 of the family's 1831-position model. The record is from RNAcentral. Lineage: Eukaryota; Fungi; Glomeromycota.